GGGGUGUAUUUAUUAGAUUAAAAGCCAAUGCCCCCCGGGGCCCCUUGGUGAUUCAUGAUAACUCCUCGAAUCGCACGGCCUUGCGCCGGCGAUGGUUCAUUCAAAUUUCUGCCCUAUCAACUUUCGACGGCUGGGUCUUGGCCAGCCGUGGUGACAACGGGUAACGGAGGGUUAGGGCUCGACCCCGGAGAAGGAGCCUGAGAAACGGCUACUACAUCCAAGGAAGGCAGCAGGCGCGCAAAUUACCCAAUCCCGACGCGGGGAGGUAGUGACAAUAAAUACUGAUACAGGGCUCUUUCGGGUCUUGUAAUUGGAAUGAGUACAAUUUAAUUCCCUUAACGAGGAACAAUUGGAGGGCAAGUCUGGUGCCAGCAGCCGCGGUAAUUCCAGCUCCAAUAGCGUAUAUUAAAGUUGUUGCAGUUAAAAAGCUCGUAGUUGAACCUUGGGCCUGGCUGGCCGGUCCGCCUCACCGCGUGCACUGGUCCGGCCGGGCCUUUCCCUCUGGGGAACCGCAUGCCCUUCGCUGGGCGUGCCGGGGAACCAGGACGUUUACUUUGAAAAAAUUAGAGUGUUCAAAGCAGGCUUAUGCUCGGAUACAUUAGCAUGGAAUAAUGGAAUAGGACGUGCGGUUCUAUUUUGUUGGUUUCUAGGACCGCCGUAAUGAUUAAUAGGGACAGUCGGGGGCAUCCGUAUUCAGUUGUCAGAGGUGAAAUUCUUGGAUCUACUGAAGACGAACUACUGCGAAAGCAUUUGCCAAGGAUGUUUUCAUUAAUCAGGAACGAAAGUUAGGGGAUCGAAGACGAUCAGAUACCGUCGUAGUCUUAACCAUAAACUAUGCCGACUAGGGAUCGGACGGUGUUGC
This 862-nucleotide ribosomal RNA is filed under the name Raffaelea arxii. RNAcentral describes it as "SSU rRNA". It matches the Rfam family "Eukaryotic small subunit ribosomal RNA", at positions 198 to 1066 of the family's 1831-position model. Lineage: Eukaryota; Fungi; Ascomycota; Sordariomycetes; Ophiostomatales; Ophiostomataceae. The record is from RNAcentral.